This 301-nucleotide ribosomal RNA is filed under the name uncultured bacterium. Its description in RNAcentral is "partial 16S ribosomal RNA". It matches the Rfam family "Bacterial small subunit ribosomal RNA", at positions 509 to 808 of the family's 1533-position model. The record is from RNAcentral.
CAGCAGCCGCGGGAAUACGAAGGGGGCUAGCGUUGCUCGGAAUCACUGGGCGUAAAGGGUGCGUAGGCGGUCUUUAAGUCAGGGGUGAAACCCAGGAGCUCAACUCCAGAACUGCCUUUGAUACUGAGGAUCUUGAGUUCGGGAGAGGUGAGUGGAACUGCGAGUGUAGAGGUGAAAUUCGUAGAUAUUCGCAAGAACACCAGUGGCGAAGGCGGCUCACUGGCCCGAUACUGACGCUGAGGCACGAAAGCGUGGGGAGCAAACAGGAUUAGAUACCCGGGUAGUCCCUGUCUCUUAUACA